GCAGGCGCUUAUGCCGCUGAGCUAAAUCCCCAGCCCCCUUGCGCCUGAUCUCCUCUGAUCUCGUGAAGCUAAGCAGGGUCGGGCCUGGUUAGUACUUGGAUGGGAGACCCCUUGGGAGUUGGGGAGGUGAAUGUG
Molecule: non-coding RNA, 135 nt
Organism: Cavia porcellus (domestic guinea pig)
Lineage: Eukaryota; Metazoa; Chordata; Mammalia; Rodentia; Caviidae
Source: Rfam